This 468-nucleotide ribosomal RNA is filed under the name uncultured bacterium. Its description in RNAcentral is "partial 16S ribosomal RNA". It matches the Rfam family "Bacterial small subunit ribosomal RNA", at positions 28 to 507 of the family's 1533-position model. The record is from RNAcentral.
GACGAACGCUGGCGGCGUGCUUAACACAUGCAAGUCGAACGGAAAGGCCCUGCUUUUGUGGGGUUCUCGAGUGGCGAACGGGUGUGUAACACGUGAGUAACCUGCCCUUGACUUUGGGAUAACUUCAGGAAACUUGGGCUAAUACCGGAUAGGAGCUCCUGCUGCAUGGUGGUGGUUGGAAAGUUUCGGCGGUUGGGGAUUGACUCGCGGCUUAUCAGCUUGUUGGUGGGGUAGUGGCUUACCAAGGGUUUGACGGGUAGCCGGCCUGAGAGGGUGACCGGCCACAUUGGGACUGAGAUACGGCCCAGGAUGCUACGGGAGGCAGCAGUGGGGAAUAUUGCACAAUGGGCGGAAGCCUGAUGAAGAAACGCAGCGGGCGGGAUGACGGCCUUCGGGUUGUAAAACGAAUUAGACUGUGAAGAAGAGUGAGUGACGGUAAUGGGUAAAGAAGCACCGGCUAACUACGUG